UACGAAGGUCCCGAGCGUUGUUCGGAAUCACUGGGCGUAAAGGGAGCGUAGGCGGUUCGGUAAGUCAGGUGUGAAAUCCCGGGGCUCAACCCCGGAACUGCACCCGAUACUGCCGUGACUGGAGUAAUGGAGGGGUAGCUGGAAUUCUCGGUGUAGCAGUGAAAUGCGUGGAUAUCGAGAGGAACACUCGUGGCGAAGGCGAGCUACUGGACAUUUACUGACGCUGAGGCUCGAAGGCCGGGGUAGCGAAAGGG
RNAcentral lists this unclassified non-coding RNA (254 nucleotides) under uncultured Verrucomicrobiota bacterium. RNAcentral's name for it is "uncultured Verrucomicrobia bacterium contains 16S-23S intergenic spacer region". It matches the Rfam family "Bacterial small subunit ribosomal RNA", at positions 524 to 776 of the family's 1533-position model. Lineage: Bacteria; Pseudomonadati; Verrucomicrobiota. The record is from RNAcentral.